RNAcentral lists this ribosomal RNA (253 nucleotides) under uncultured bacterium. RNAcentral's name for it is "partial 16S ribosomal RNA". It matches the Rfam family "Bacterial small subunit ribosomal RNA", at positions 524 to 776 of the family's 1533-position model. The record is from RNAcentral.
UACGGAGGGUGCAAGCGUUAUCCGGAUUCACUGGGUUUAAAGGGUGCGUAGGUGGGCCUGUAAGUCAGUGGUGAAAUCUCCGAGCUUAACUCGGAAACUGCCAUUGAUACUAUAGGUCUUGAAUUAUCUGGAGGUGAGCGGAAUAUGUCAUGUAGCGGUGAAAUGCUUAGAUAUGACAUAGAACACCAAUUGCGAAGGCAGCUCGCUACGGAUAUAUUGACACUGAGGCACGAAAGCGUGGGGAUCAAACAGG